AGCUCAAAUUUGAAAGCUGGCGUCUUCGGCGUCCGCGUUGUAAUCUCGAGACGUGUUUUCCGUGCGGCUCUAUGGACAAGUCCCUUGGAACAGGGCAUCGUAGAGGGUGAAAAUCCCGUACUUGCCAUGGAAGUACCGUGCUUUGUGAUACACGCUCCAAGAGUCGAGUAGUUUGGGAUUGCUGCUCAAAGUGGGUGGUAGACUCCAUCUAAAGCUAAAUAUCGGGGAGAGACCGAUAGCGAACAAGUACCG
RNAcentral lists this ribosomal RNA (252 nucleotides) under uncultured Phaeocystis. RNAcentral's name for it is "partial Eukaryotic large subunit ribosomal RNA". It matches the Rfam family "Eukaryotic large subunit ribosomal RNA", at positions 106 to 353 of the family's 3401-position model. Lineage: Eukaryota; Haptophyta; Phaeocystales; Phaeocystaceae. The record is from RNAcentral.